GAACCUUUUUUGGCCAAGUGAUUGUGUGAGGUAGUCUUUUAGUAUUCAGUCUUAAUUAUUUUGCAGGCAGGUUUAGUUUUCCUUUAACACAUUAUUUUCCUCAAUUUCCAAUAAAGGAAAAGUAACAUAAGAAGGAAAAAUGUACUUUGAGAUCUCCACUGUACCUCCUUUGAGCAAAAUCUCAAAACAUGACAUUUUCCAAAUACAUGUGUUUUUUUUUUCCCUUCUCUUUUCAUCAUUAGGAAUGGAGGAUCUUUGGUUCCAUACCAAUGCAGGCAUGUCAGCAGAAGGAUGUGUUUGCCAAUUACCUUACUUCUAACUUCCAAGCGCCAGGUGUGAAGUCUGGCAACAAGAGGUCUUCAUCUCACUCUAGCCCAGGUAGUCCAAAGAAGCAGAAGAAUGAAAGCAACUCAGCGGGAUCUCCCGCCGACAUGGAGCUCGAUUCAGAUAUGGAGGUACCACAUGGUUCUCAGAGCAGCGAAAGUUUUCAGUUUCAACCACCAUUACCUCCUGACACUCCUCCACUCCCCCGGGGAACUCCUCCACCCGUCUUCACCCCUCCACUCCCAAAGGGCACCCCGCCGCUGACUCCCAGUGACUCACCCCAGACCAGAACAGCAUCUGGAGCUGUGGAUGAGGACGCACUGACUCUAGAAGAACUUGAAGAACAGCAGAGGCGGAUCUGGGCAGCUCUUGAGCAGGCCGAGAGCGUAAACAGUGACUCCGACGUUCCUGUGGACACACCUUUAACUGGCAAUUCCGUUGCCUCAUCACCUUGUCCAAAUGAGCUAGACCUCCCUGUCCCGGAGGGAAAAACAUCUGAAAAGCAGACGCUGGAUGAGCCUGAGGUACCAGAGAUUUUUACAAAGAAAUCAGAAGCUGGACAUGCCUCCAGUCCAGACUCUGAGGUGACAUCACUUUGUCAGAAGGAAAAAGCAGAGUUGGCUCUGGUAAACACUGAAGGUGCCCUUCUUGAUAAUGGAAGUGUCGUACCAAACUGUGACAUCAGCAAUGGGGGCAGCCAGAAGCUCUUUCCUGCAGACACCAGUCCUUCAAUGGCCACUAAAAUUCAUAGCCCUAUACCUGACAUGAGCAAAUUUGCAACUGGAAUCACGCCAUUUGAAUUUGAGAAUAUGGCAGAAUCUACUGGAAUGUACCUCAGGAUAAGAAGCUUGUUAAAGAACUCACCCCGAAACCAGCAGAAAAACAAAAAGGCCUCUGAAUAAUGGCUUGACUUAGCACUGAGAGCUAUUUAAUAACUUUGUUCCGUUAAUUAGUACUAAUUAAGUGGAUAGAUAGAAUGGUUUUCCUGUUUGUCCCUCCCAUGUUUAAAAAUCUAUCCAAGGUUCGUGUUCCAAAGUCAAGCCUAUUUUAAAGAAAGACUGAGCUCACUAGUUCAGUGUAUUUUAUUCUCACUGACAAAACUUGGGGAGAGAUGUGAAUAUGACCUGGUUUAGAGAGGGUUUGUUAAGGUUUAUACUAUUUUUGGAUUGUGACUAUCCGUCAAGAGUGAUGGUUUUUAUCUGUCUUUUGUACAUUGUUUUCCCUUUCUACAUUUUGCUAAUUAUCCUGUAUAUAAGUUUAAUAUAUCACUUUUUAAAAGAAAAAAUUCUACCAUUUUAAAUUCAUGUUUCAACUCCUACAACCAAAUGAGAAAAAUCAGGGAUGAGCAGCUUUAUCCCAUUUGGGGUAUUUUUGUAAGUGAUUUACAUGCGUCAAUUUUAGUAAUACUUUUACUUUUUUGUAAUUUCAUUCUUCAUAUAUGCUUGCUAUACAGGUAUGUUCAUCUUUGUGUACAGAGGUUUAAUAAAUUAGUUUUCAUAUACAUAA
This 1830-nucleotide small RNA is filed under the name Pan troglodytes (chimpanzee). RNAcentral describes it as "retained intron". Lineage: Eukaryota; Metazoa; Chordata; Mammalia; Primates; Hominidae. The record is from RNAcentral.